This is a long non-coding RNA of Zingiber officinale, 1566 nucleotides long. RefSeq lists it as uncharacterized. NCBI's taxonomy places the organism in Eukaryota, Viridiplantae, Streptophyta, Magnoliopsida, Zingiberales, Zingiberaceae. The transcript has 3 exons. The record is from RefSeq and is a predicted model, not a curated record.
UAUUCCUUCCUUUAUUGAUUUUAGAUUUGUGUGUGUGUGUGUGGUUAGUGAUAGUAAAGUUAGAUAUCUUGUUUUGUUUGAUGAACAUUUUUCCAAUAAGUGUAGCCUUCACCUCUCGUUUGACUUUGGACAAAAGAGGUGCUUUGGAGUAAUUAGUAUGGGGAUUUGCUUCCACCAUACCUCUUAUUUAGGCCCUAAGAAUUUUGUUAGAUCUAUAAAUUUAUCUACCGCUAGCAUCUAAAUCUUGAAAUCCUGAUAGAUCUAUGUACUCCCCAAAUGGAGAUUGUCACUUACUCGUGCUGUAAUAGGAAGUCCUUAAUUGCAGAUGUAUUUUAUAGGCUAUAGGUUAGAAUCUUGAUGAAGCUAUAUAACUCUUCUAUGCCAGCAAUGAAAGUGGUGGGGUGGAGUCAUAUUUCUUAACUUAAGGGAUUAAUGGAAUUACUAGGUGGUCUUCGACUAAACCUAUGAAAAUUAGAGUGUGUUUUUAUUGGAUAUAGUUUGCGAUGACUAUUUUUCUUUGAAAUUUAUAUUUCUUCAAUGAGGAAAAUAUUCUUAAUUGCCUUAACAUUUUCAUAAUUUCUAUACUUCUAUUAACUUAAUUUGCAUAAUUCUAUCUAUUGUUGCGUACUAAUACAUUUCAAAGUUCAAUUAUUUGAUGGUUCCUUUAUUGCCAUUGAAUUUUAUUUAAUACAAAACACCACAGAUCUCGACUCUUGACCAAGUUCAGAUGUUCCCUUCGGCAUAUCAAGACAUUCUGCUAUUUGGGAAUCAAGCGAGAAUGCUAUGUCAACAUAAAAUUGUACCAAUCUUGCUUCAUUAUAUACUCCACCUUUUGCCUUGAUAUUCCAAGGGCACUUUGACCAGGUUGUCCUAGAAGUAAGCAUAGAGAUGCUUGUAAUGGUUAAUGAAGACAACGUUACUAGAUGGAUUGAUUAUGUUGUUUAUGAUAAAAUAUUCUUCAAAAGAAUUGGGUAUCCUUGGCUUUUGACUAAACCAUGAAUGGUAUGAGCUAUCUUGUUGAAGGCUUAAUUUGCAUUAAGAAAUGCUCAAAUUCUUAAUGGAUCAAAUUUCUAAUGUUGUAUUAGCUUUGACACGAUUUGGUUAUAAAAUUAGAUUGCUAGUGGUGGCAUUUGUAGCAGUAUUGGGAAUAAAUUUGGUAGCAAUAGCGAUAUCAAUAUUGGUGCAAAAAAAAGUGAUGAUUUUGGUCAUGUUUUUCAGUCAAAUUUGAGAAAUGUGAGUCGUGGAGAUAUUUGUGCUAAUACUAAAUGUAAGCUGCUUCAUUGGUCUGCUGAUGAAUUAGUUGUUGCAGAAGGUCGAAUUGUAUCCAUAGAUCCAAACACAAAAGUGCAUCACGUUAUUCUUGGUGGAUCAUGUUGGAAAGUUUGGGUUGAUAAAGUUUUGGUGGAAAUGGUGGACCUAAUUUGACCAAAUGAUGAAAUGCAGUUUCUUGAUGAUGCAAUAAGAAGCACAGUUGCAUGGUUAUCGAAAUUUAUAGUAUUAUGUGAUUGAUACAUAAUAUACUAAUUUGUGUGAAUUGUAAGUUUAAUUGUUGUUAUAUAAUAACUA